RNAcentral lists this long non-coding RNA (203 nucleotides) under Lupinus angustifolius (narrow-leaved blue lupine). RNAcentral describes it as "long non-coding RNA (LANG_LNC002844)". Lineage: Eukaryota; Viridiplantae; Streptophyta; Magnoliopsida; Fabales; Fabaceae. The record is from RNAcentral.
UGCAAAGUGCAAAAACAAAAGAAGAAAAAGAAUGAAAAUAAAGUUAUUUAUGUUACUCACAAGUAUAAUUGAUGAUUUUUAAAGGCAUCAAACAUCAAAACUUGAAUCGGUGUCUCUUGGUAAGCAACCUUAAUUGCUUUCGGUUACUUGUACAAGAUUAGGGUUUCAAAAAUUAGAAACAAAGUGAAAAAAUUAAAUAGAAG